UCGGAGUUCCUGAUUGCCAGAUAUCGAUCCACAUUUCAAUUGAUCACAAUUGGAAUGACUUUGUAUCUACGUCACCCGACCAGCGAGAUGCAAAUACAAUGUGUCGGUUGGAGAUCCUUCAGGAUCAUCCUGCUAUAACGAGGUUAUGGCGUAAUGAGAGGAGCAGAAUGCAGCACGGC
This is a long non-coding RNA of Dufourea novaeangliae, 179 nucleotides long. RefSeq lists it as uncharacterized. NCBI's taxonomy places the organism in Eukaryota, Metazoa, Arthropoda, Insecta, Hymenoptera, Halictidae. The transcript is spliced from 3 exons. The record is from RefSeq and is a predicted model, not a curated record.